This 104-nucleotide ribosomal RNA is filed under the name uncultured bacterium. RNAcentral's name for it is "partial 16S ribosomal RNA". The record is from RNAcentral.
CGGCCCUACGGGUUGUAAACUGCUUUUAUACCGGGGAAUAAAACCUAUCUACGUGUAGAUAGCUGAAUGUAACCUGUAAGAAUAAGGAUCGGCUAACUCCGUGC